This 14045-nucleotide long non-coding RNA is filed under the name Citrus maxima (pomelo). Its description in RNAcentral is "long non-coding RNA (CMAX_LNC000675)". The record is from RNAcentral. Lineage: Eukaryota; Viridiplantae; Streptophyta; Magnoliopsida; Sapindales; Rutaceae.
ACAAACCAGUUUCCGAUAAAAACUCCUCAGUGUUAAGAAUAUCAGAUGGUAAUUUAGUUCUUUUAAAUGAGUCUAAAACGGCCAUCUGGUCCACAAGUUUGAACUCUAGUAAUACAACAACUUCAAUCGAAGCAGUUGUUCUAGAUGAAGGUAAUUUUGUUUUGAGAGAUUCUUCAGCUAAUUCAACCUUAUGGCAAAGUUUUGAUCAUCCGACUCAUACAUGGCUUCCCGGAAUGAAGUUUGGAAUAAACAAACGGGCAAAAGUAAACCAAUUUCUCAUCUCAUGGAAGAAUAAAGAGGAUCCUGCACCGGGUCUCUUUUCGCUUGAGCUAGCCCCAGAUGGAUCGGAUCAAUAUGUUAUAAUGUGGAAUAGGUCUGAAAAAUACUGGAAUAGUGGAGUCUGGACUGGAAUAAAUUUUGCCAACGUUCCGGAAAUGAUAUCUCAUCAUAAUUUCGACUUCAACUACAUUUCGGAUGAAAAUGGGAGAUAUUUCGUUUAUUCUGUUACUAAUUCUAUGACAACUCGUUUUGUUAUUGAUUCUUCAGGGCAGAUUGAGCAGAUGUUUUGGUUGGAGUCUAGCAAGGCUUGGUUUCAGUUCUGGUCGCAACCAAGGCAACCUUGUGAUGUUUAUGCUUAUUGUGGCGCAUUUGGCAGCUGUAAUGAGGGAAACCAGUCUUUCUGUGCUUGUCUGCCUGGUUUUAGGCCAAAAUGGGAGAACAAUUGGAACUUGAUGCAGGAUUAUUCUUCUGGCUGUGUGAGGAAAACCCAACUGCAGUGUGAAAAUACUGUUGUUACAAAUGGAAAGAGUGACAAGUUUUUAGCAAAUUCUCACAUGGUAUUGCCUAAACAUCCACAAUCUGUGGCAGUAGGGAGUAUCAAGGAGUGUGAAACAACCUGCUCGAGGAACUGCUCUUGCACUGCUUAUGCUUAUGAAGACAAUGCUUGUUCAAUAUGGAUUGGAAGUCUCUUGAGUCUGCAUCAACUUUCACCAGGUGACGCAAAUGGGAAAACUAUUUAUGUCAAGCUUGCAGCUUCGGAGUUUUCAAGUUCCAGUAAUAACAAGGGAAUAGUCAUUGGUGCUGUCGUGGGUUCAGUGGCAUUUGUAGCUCUAUUAGGCCUUCUUGCUUUUAUGUAUUUCAGGAAGAGAGAGAAUACAAUGAAAACAAGCAAAUCAGUGGAGGAUGGUUCAUUGGUGGCAUUUGCAUACAAGGAUUUGCUAACAGCCACAAAGAAUUUCUCUGAAAAGUUGGGGGGAGGAGGUUUUGGUUCUGUUUUCAAAGGGAGGCUGCCUAAUUCAAGUGUCAUAGCUGUGAAGAAGCUGCAGAGCUUCAGCCAAGGAGAGAAACAAUUCAGAGCAGAAGUCAGCACAAUAGGGAACAUCCAACAUGUCAAUCUAGUUAGGCUUCGUGGAUUCUGCUCUGAAGGUACCAAAAAAUUAUUGGUCUAUGAUUACAUGCCAAAUGGUUCCCUAGAUUCGCACAUCUUCCAUAGAGAGGAUUCAAAGGUUCUUGAUUGGAAGACAAGAUACCAAAUUGCACUAGGGACAGCCAGAGGGUUAGCUUAUCUCCACGAGAAGUGCAGAGACUGCAUCAUACACUGUGACAUAAAGCCAGAGAACAUUCUAUUAGAUGCUCAAUGGUGUCCAAAAGUGGCAGAUUUUGGAAUGUCAAAGCUUGUUGGGAGAGAAUUCAGCAGAGUCCUAACGACCAUUAGAGGAACAAGAGGGUAUCUCGCACCAGAAUGGCUUUCAGGAGUGGCCAUAACAGCUAAAGCUGAUGUUUACAGCUAUGGAAUGAUGCUCCUUGAAAUUGUGUCAGGAAGGAGAAACUUUGAAUGGAACUCUGAAUACUCUGAAGAUGAAGAAAUGAAAUACUUCCCAACUUGGGCAGCAAGCCUAAUGAGCGAAGGUGGCAAUGUGCUUAGCCUUUUAGACAAAAGUCUUGAGGGUAGUGCUGAUGUAGAAGAGCUUUCAAGGAUUUGCAAAGUUGCUUGCUGGUGUAUCCAAGAUGAUGAAACUCAUAGGCCAUCAAUGGGUCAAGUGGUUCAAAUACUUGAGGGGGUUUUGGAAGUGACUCAGUCUCCAAUUCCAAGAUCCCUUAAAGUAAUCGCAGAUAACAAGGAGGAUAUAAUCUUCUUCACCGAGUCAUCUGAGACUUCAGCUGCUUCAUCUCAAGCUAAGUUCGCUGGAUCGUCAGCAAGUUCCUAAAUCCUUACCAAGAUAAUCAAUUUUAUUUGAGUAGUACUUGUUAUUUCUGUUUUUUGGAUUUGGGUGGUGUUUUGUUAUUUCUGUUUGACUAUAGUCUUGAAUUUAUUGCCCUUAUUUGAGUACUGCUAUCCUAGAUAGUCUACUAUACAUAUGUGGUUGUAAUCUAUAUUAGUUUCAUAUGGUUUGAACUUCGAAUGUCGUAGCAUAAUGUUUAUCAAAAUCUCGUGUCUGCAGGUUGUUUAUUUUCUAACUGUUAAUAAUGUCCGCUCGAAUGAUAACAAUUUAUCUACCUGUUAAUAUAUGAUUUUAAUAUAUGUUGAUAUGCAGAACACAACAUAACAGAACCAACCAUUUGAAAUUUCAUUUCAGUUGGACGAGUAAUCUAACGUUGAAUUUCACUGUCAUCAAUGGUAAAACAAAGAGUCCAGUUCAUACUUCAGAGUCGUUGCAAAUUAAUUAAAAUGACUAGAAGAUUGGAAUGAAUAGCGAAAUAGACAAACUGAAUUGAUAAGAUAAACAAAUAGAUAGAAUAAAAAUAAAACUAUGUACUGAAAACAUCCGAAUUUGUUGCAGUGUAUUGCAGCACCAAUUUCAUUUGGGCCAAGAAUGUACAAAGAAGCAAAAUCUUGAUGAGUUAUGUUCGAUAAAGUUCAAUGCAGUUAAAUGAAAAAAACUGAAACUAACCCCUCUGUAUAUUCCAGUUUCUAUUCUGUUUCCAAUGGACCGCAAAAACUUAUACGCAGUAAUGAGACUGCAGUAGCACAUUACAAAAUGACACAUCCACAUGUCCCCUAUAAUAUCUGUACAUGCUAAGUAACCCAAAUCUGCAAUGGUAAUUGGUUGAAGAAAAAUAGGGUACUAAUCGUAUUAUAAUACUGAAUAUGGUCAGCUUAGUCUUUGUGUCGAUUGACUACCUUGAUGCCAUCCGUCCAAACACAACCUCUAGCAAAAAGAGACGCAUUUUCCUCUAGUAUUCUGAGCUGUUCCCGAAGAAUUUCAGAACGGUCAAAAAGUGAAGAGUCUUUGAAAGAGGAUUCUUCAGGUACUUUGAGAUCAGACCAGCUUUCUGCCGGCAGGUAUAAAGCUUGUGAAGUGCUGUACCACAGCUCUGAUGAUCAAUAUCCAGAGAAGAAUUAUAGCUUAUCUCAAAAUGAGUGAAAUUAUUAAAAAAUCUAUAUACAUAGCUCAUUUCUAUAAUCCAUUGGGUUCAUAGUCUUAGAUAUCCUGAUAAGAAUUCCAACCCACUGCUUCUACAUAUACCCAGACAUUGAACACAAUUUGGUUUAUUUAUUUCUUAAGAACAUCAUGGUCAGUGAUUCAAAGUUCAAAACAUGAAUUUCAAGGAUUAUGAUAUCUAUGUGGCACGUGUGUCAAGUUUAGUAAAACUUAAAUCUCCAUGGGAAUUCGACGAAAAUCAACAAGCUCCUUCUUAGUCAUAGGUCCGGGUGGCAAAGCUUAUUCAGUUUUGACUUUGGAUACCUGCCUGCCUGAACAAUUGAUUAAGGACGAACCUAUACUAUGCAUGUCGGAUAGUAGUAGCAGAACCACUCAAAAUAGGCAGAAGAUUGCAAUCUAAACCAAUAUAUGACAAGGGUAGAACAUAUAGAGCUUAAACUUUACCUGUGCCUUGUAGCUUAGCAAUCCCACUACAGGGGAGACAACACAGUGUGUUUUCUUGUUGAGGGUAUCAGUUGGCACAUCUCUCAUAACCAUAUGUCCUAGCGAGUGAUAAGUCAAGAAAGCUGCACCAAAUUUCCCUUCAGGAAUUCGAUAUAUGGGAUACCAAGCCACUGAAAACCUAAAACCAAUUUAUUCAGGUUGUAAUAAGAAUGUCACAGAUUGGUUCCCCCCACCCCAAAAAAUAAGUAAAUAAAUGAAAGCACCAUGUGGUGACUGAUUCUCACCAGGAUGCAGGAUGUAGAUCAUUCAGCUUCAAAGAUUUCAACUGUGAUAUGUCACCAAAUACUUGAAGACAAGAAGCUUCAGCAUCAAAAAGAUCCAGAAUUCUGCAAUUAGUAAUUAGUUAAGAUCCAAUCCAGAUACAUCUUAACACCCCAUUUCAAAUAAAAAUGAUGAGGGUUUCAAUGAAUUGUAAACAGAAUGAGAAGAAAGAGUUCAAGGAAAAAAAGCCUACAUGAUAAGCGGUAAUUGGAAAUGGAUGACUAUGAGUGAGUACUAAUUAAGAUAAGAAGAUAAAAAGAAGACACAACUACAGCAAUGAGGACAAAACAUGUCAAACCUUCAACUAGGGCAAUGGUUGGGCACACCACACAAGAAAAGCUGAAAUGGAACUACAAAUCAACUAUGUAGAAUCAUCAUUUCCAUGUACGACUUUUAUGAAUUCUGUAAAUAUGGCAAUGCAAGUUUUGAGGUAAGAAAGCAGAACUCUCAAUGCACAUGGUACAAUAACCUACAGCAGUAUCAUAAAUACUCCAAGAUGCAAUUUCUUCAAGUUAAUGAAUAGACUACAGAUUAAAUACCAUGUGAGAGAAAUAUGCCAGACUCAAGUUUAGAAAAAUAGUUCUAAUAGCAUCCACUGUAAAUAAUUGAUUGUAUAUCAACCUAGCAAUUUGAAUUAGCGACUGCCUGAUGAUUAUAAUUUUCAAUACAGCAAACGAAAGAUAAAGGCUAGUGGCGAAAUUUACUUAUUAUGAAGAGGCCUUCGCAGCCAAGGUUUCUCAGUUUCAAAAAAUUCAAAUAAAAGUUCACAAUUACUGGAGCAAUCAGGUGAUGGAGUGAAACACUGGGAGUGGCCUUCAGGACAGAAAGCCUUAUAUGAAUUGACACUCUCUUCAAACGAGCCAAAUUUCAGCUCUGGGGCCAAAAUAUUUUUCCCCUCUAAUGCUGUUGAGCUAUUUCUGAUAUACAUGUCAGAGUUGGAGCGCUCUUCAUUUGUACCACAAGAAUUAGAUAGAUAUGAGUAGCCAAACAAUUGAACAGCUGAAAGAUAAGGAACAAAAUGAGCAUCAAACGAUGCUGAUUCAGUAAGCCGCCCUUUUAGGUUCUGAGAAUCCCCUACUUUGACUUUCAGUCCAUAAUUCCCUGGCUCCUCGUACCAGUUCCAAACAGAAAAAGUGAUGUAUUAGGUAUCUGGGGCUUACACAAGGAGCUAUCAGACAACUGAUCACCCAAACAUAAAGAACAUUUUCCGUGUUGAUAUAAUGAGGCAAUAGCAGGAGCAGCGGAGUGGAGGAAUCUUUCGAACUCCACAAGUGGACAUCCUGUUUCUAGCUCAAAACCCUCAGAUACUAGUUGCAUUUUGUAAGCAGCAUUUAGAGGAUCUGUUACCAUUAAGCCAACAAUAAGCUGUUGAACAUCUUUCAAAUUUUGCACAUAUUUCAUUCUAAUUUCAGCACUCUUGACGUGGACUUCUGUUGUGGUACGCUGACUGUCAGAAUUUGGAGCUUCAGUUUCAACUAUAUUCAAACUGUUGCUACCAAUUAGGUGUGUACUUUUAAAUUUGCUUAACAUGGCAGAUGCACGAUGAUCAAUUACAUUUCCCCCCAAACGGCCAUCCUUCUCUACUUCAUGUAAAAGUGGCAAGUCGCCAUUACUAACAUGACAGAUACCAGCAGAACCAGUUUUUUCUGAAAUACUUGACCCCUUAGUGCCAACAGCAACCCACUUCUUUGAAUUCAUUCUAGAAGUAACAUCUUUUAUGAAUUGGUUUUCAUUAAAUUGUUCAAAUUUUAAGCAUGAUUCACUUUUUGUGGAAGCAUGAAAUGAUCUAGCUGAUACGUAACUCAUCCCUGGUAUCUUCACCCCACCGUAUGGUUGAGAGCAUACCCUAGUUGGCCGUCCAUGACAAGAAAAAUCAGAAUAAGAAUGCAAGCAGGAUGCACCAUGGGUAAAACCAUGCUGGCUACUGUAAGUUCUCUGCGCCAUAUAAGGAUUCUUGUAACAGUUCAGUUCAAAUGGCACCUCUAAAAAUUCUUUCUUACAUAAACAAGCCUUGUUAUGAGGCCUCAAGAAAUUGUGCCCCUGACAUUCCAGUCCUUUCUUGCUUCUGCAAUAAUUUCAAGGGUUAAAGGAUCCCUUUGUUUUCAAUUUCUGUUCUUCAUAUUCAUCCAAUUCACAAGUGGCCACUUGACUUAAUUGGGACACGUGUCGAUCAAGUCUCCUAUUUAAUCUCUGAUCAGCAACCCAUCGAGAGGACUCAACCAACACCUUCUGGUGGAUUCUCACAUCUGUUUUUGUCUUUUUAUUUCCUGCAUUUGCUACACCAAUGUGCCUAGAAGAUUCAAUUGUUGGAGUGGGCAGCAAUCCUUUACCAAAAAAUGAGUUGUGCUCGACAAAAAGGUUCUUCUGCAGCAUACUUGCAUCUCCCUGUAGAUAAUUGCGUUGCAAUUUGUUACCCUCACUGGUUUGUGUUUCCCUUACAUUCCUCUGCUUCUUCCGCCAGACUGAUUGGCUAUUUUCCUUCCCUGUCAUGAUAUGUUGGUGAUUUCUAGUCUUAUUGACAGCAUCAAGUUCAGAUGGUAAGUUAUGGCUCUUAAAUCCAUUUCUUUCUCUGAUGGCAUGAGAACUGUUGCAGACGUCACACCCUUGCUUGUUCUCAUCUGGAACUUUACAGCAAGUUCUACUAUUGCAGUUUUGAAUAUUCAGAUCUUCAGAACACAGUUUCACAUGUAUUUCACAUAGAGAAGUUGAAUUCACCAGUGGGGUAUUUUUCUCCAAGCCCUUUUCACAGUUUAUAGCAGGAUUGAGUAUAUCCUCCAUAAUUGAUGAAGAAGUUGACUUUGCAUCAAUAACAUCAUAUUUACUUUCUCCUGCCAUAGAAACAAUCUUACAGGAGAUCUUUUUACUUGAAUAAGUUCUCUUUUUGUUGUUCUUCUUUUUCUUUCUAAAAUGUUUCUUGAACUUCGGAUCAUCAGUAAUUGAAUCCACUUUGCUGUUUACCUGCUUAUCACUAAAACCAAGAGUAGCUGAUUGGAAAGAUCCAGCACAUCUUGACUUCUCAUUACACACAACAUCUGGUACAGCUAGAUCUCCGUAUGGCUUCAAAGCCUCAGAGAUCCAGAUGUCACCAAGAACUGCACAACCUAAAGAGCUUGACGAACUACAGAUACCAUUUCCCCGUUCUAUAUGUUGAACUAAUGCUCCUGAAACUUCCAUCUCUAGAACAUUUAUCAAUUUAACGAUUUUCAGUCCUUAUCUAAAUCAACACCAGAAAGCAAAGCCUGCAAUGGGAAAUGAACAAGUUAAAGAAAAGGGGCACGAUCAAGUUCCAAAUGAAAUCAAGUCCUACUAGAGACAGAUAACAUGUUAACAAUAAAGUCAACAGAAUUUGAAUGAAACAAGAAUCCACUCCAGCCUGUCAAAUAUUAAAGCAACAGAAAAGCAAAGAACCAAAAGAGCAUCUCAUUUCUCAUAUGAACCAAAGAUUGGAUAAAGUCAAUAAAAAAUAAUUGGAAUAAAAUGCAAUGAACAAGCACUCAAACCAAAUAUAUUCAUAUGAUCCUCAAAUUUGCAUUUUAGUUAAUGAGAUACUAAAGUGAAUUUAACUAACUACCUAACAGUACAAGCACACAUCUCAUGAAACAAACCAAUUUAUCAGGGCAUUUGCGUACAUACAAAAGUCCAAAUAUCUCUUUAAAUCAAACCCACCUAAUUUUUACCAACAAAAGUUAUUUUUCUUGACCUAAUAUAACUCAAGGGUAGAACUAAAUAUGAACCCAAGAAAUAGCCCAAACCAUGUAAUUUAUUCAAAUGCACGUUUUCAAGUACUUCUCAGACAGUUAUUUAAUUCAUCUGCUACCCAAGAAAAACAAAAUGAAAGUAGAAAAAAGAACAAGAAAAAGAAUGCCACUUUACCAAGUGCAGGUGAUGGGUUCUUGUGACUGCUCAAAGAACCCAGAAAAUAUAAUUAAAAGGAAAUAUCCAUGUUCCUUUAACCAAAUUAAGAAACAUACAAAGAAAACGACAAAUUUUGAAACAAGAAACGUGAAUAAUACUGAUCAAAUUAUGACACCCGUAUUGAAUUUAGAUCAAACAAAAAGAUUAAACAGAGAAAAAAAGAUAAAAGAAAAAGAAAGUACCUGAGAGACAAAAUGAGAAGCGCGCCAGAAGCCAAAAUAUGAAAAAUGGGUUUUUGGGGUUUUGACUUUUGAGUCUGUUUCAAUUUUUAUUUAACGGAUUUCUUGAAAUUGCUAGGAAAUAUUCUCUUAGAGUGUGGAGUAGGCAUAUCACAGUUGAUGAGGUCGAAUCUCUCUCCGUGGGCGCCUUGUGUCUAAUACGUAUGAUGAUAACACAAGCAAAAUACCAUAUGGAUGGAUUAUGGGCAGCCCGCGGAAUUGUCUGUUGUACCCCGCUAUUGUAACCAUCCAGGAGGAUCCGUUUUAAUAUUUUUUUUUGCUACACUUUAAAUAUUCCUAUAAAUGAAUUAAUUCAUGUUUAUAAACAGUGUUACGGAAAAUAAGGGAGAUGGUGAAUAAAUAAUAUUAUAAGUUUUUUAAAAAGUUACAUAAAUAAAAUUAAUAGUUUUUGAAAUAAAAAAUUAUUUCUAAAGAAACAUGAAUUAUUGCCAAGUAGCAUGUGAAUAAACAUUUAAUUAUUCAAAAAAGAAUGAUUAUGUACUCUUUGAUGUAUGUUACGACGUUAAUUGGUGAGAAUGAAAUACUGUACAAUAAAUUAUCUUAGAAAUUUGUUAAAGUAUACUAUGUACCAAUGAAUGUUAUUUUUUCGAAUGAAAAUUUUGGGAUGAUAAUAUUAGGGAUAGGACUAUUUGAGCUCUAAAAAUUAUUUUAAAUACUCUAUUAUUCUAUAGAUUUGUGUACUAUGAACUCUCUACUUUCUUCCAAUAGUUAGUAGUGUGAAAGUGGUGUAAUGAGGGAGUGAUGUGGUGUCUUAAUUACUCUCCCGUUUAGCUCUUUGUUAGUGUUUUUUAAGUCUGCUGUUUUAAAUUUGUGAAGUUUUUUAUAUUGUCGCUAUUUUCCAUUAUUGUUAUUGGUGGUCUAUAUGAUGGGUACGAUGGAAUUAGCGAAACUUUGUGGCUCUUUAACUUUGCGUGUCAAAGCAAGUACGAUUUUGUCUCAGAUGCUGUCCAAAAGCGAAGGGAGGCAAUGGUAGUGAAUUACUUGAUUAGUAAGAUAUUAACGAAGCAGGUGAUUUCCAAAGAUGCCUUCACUAAGAAUUUUCCAGUGAUUUGAAGAACAUUCAGGGAGUUAAGAUCAAAUGUUUAGAGAAGAAUGUAUUCUUGUUCUGUUUUAGCUGACGAGUUCUUUUGUUGGCCCAUGGCAUUUUGAUAGGACAUUGGUUGUUCUCACUCCAUUGCAAGGUAAUGGUGAUUUGACUGUGGAAUGUUCUGACAAAGUGGCAUUUUGGGUGUAAAUUUAUAACGUGCCCUUAUUGUAUAUAUUAAAAGAGAUAACUGAACUUCAACUGAGUAUACAUGGAACGAUGGAGAAAGUAGAUAUGAGAUUAUCUAGUGAUUGUAUGGGAAAGUAUCUGAAAGUUUAUGUUACCUUUGAUAUUGUGUUACCUUUGAUAUUUCUUAUUCGUUAAAACGGGAUUUACGUGUGAAAUUCCAUUCAUUGGAUCUUAAAUGUGUGUUUGGUACUAUAUGAGAAGUAGUUAAAUUUUUAUUUUCACUGUAAUAGGAUAAGACAUAUAUUUCAUAAGUGUGAGGUGCAUGAGUUAGCAAGGGCAGAGGAUGGCUCCCACACCACUCUUCUGUUUGGGAAUUGGAUGAGAAUGAUUGUUGGUGCUUUCGUCAAACGGCUAAAAAAUCCACUAAUGGUCAAGGUUAAUACAAAGAGUGGCAGUGAGGAGUUGAAUGCAUCGUUGAUGACACCAAAUAAGCCGGAUACCGUUAUUAAUGGCGUGAAAAUUUUGGAUGAAUUUCAAAAUGUGAGUGAUUUAAAUUUUGAAAGCGCUAAUGUUGCAGACAAGGGAGCUUUUCCUUAGCUUAUGAUCUUUGGUUUCUAUAUGGCUUCUAGGCCGCUUGACCUCUUUACGGCUCCUAAGUGUUCGACUUCUUUAUGGUUUCUUGGUUGCUUGAGUUCUUUAUGCUCUGCUUCCUUGAUGCCUCUAUGUUUCUUUUUCCCUUUCUUUUACUUCUCGUCUCCGCCUCCAUUUCGUUCCUACAUAUUUUGACAGCACAGAAUUUGUUGUUGUUGCAGCGGCCAUGGAAAUCAUCAAGAACAAUUCAUGGUUGAUGCUUUUUGUUCUUUUCACGUGCUUCUCACUCAAAUCCCAUGUCUCCUUCGGAGCUGACACCAUUUCUGCAAACCAAUCUCUCUCUGGUGAUCAAACGAUCGUUUCUAAAGGUGGGGUCUUUGCAUUUGGUUUCUUCAACCCAGCUCCUGGUAAGUCUUCAAACUAUUACAUAGGCAUGUGGUACAAUAAAGUCUCUGAAAGAACUAUAGUUUGGGGAGCCAACAGAGAACAGCCAGUUUCUGAUAGAUUCUCUUCGGUUUUAAGAAUCUCAGAUGGUAACUUAAUUCUUUUUAAUGAGUCCCAACUACCCAUUUGGUCCACAAAUUUGACCGCUACCAGCAGACGUUCUGUGGUAGCAGUUCUUUUAGAUGAAGGAAAUCUUGUUUUGAGAGAUUUGUCAAAUAAUUUGUCGGAGCAGUUAUGGCGAAGUUUUGAUCAUCCAGCUCAUACUUGGAUUCCCGGUAUGAAGCUGACGUUCAACAAGAGAAACAACGUCAGUCAACUUCUCACUUCAUGGAAGAAUAAAGAAAAUCCUGCACCGGGUCUCUUCUCCCUUGAGCUAGCACCAGAUGGAUCAAAUCAAAAUGUUAUUUUGUGGAAUAGGUCUGAGCAGUACUGGAGAAGUGGACCUUGGGAUGAUAAUGCAAAAAUUUUCACCUUGGUCCCUGAAAUGACACUAAAUUAUAUCUACAAUUUCAGCUAUGUGUCGAAUGAAAACGAGAGCUAUUUCACCUACAAUGUGAAAGAUAGCACUUAUACAUCUCGAUUCAUUAUGGAUGUUUCAGGACAGGUUAAGCAGAUGAAUUGGUUGCCUACCAACUCUUGGUUUCUAUUUUGGUCCCAACCAAGACAGCAAUGAGAGGUUUAUGCUUUUUGUGGUCAAUUAAGCACCUGCAAUGAGCAAACUGAGCGUUUUUGUUCUUGUUUGAAAGGUUUUCAACAAAAAUCGGUGAGUGACUGGAAUUUGGAAGAUUAUUCUGGUGGUUGUGUGAGGAAAACCCCGCUGCAGUGUGAAAAUAAUAGUCCUGCCAAUGGAAAAAGCGACCAAUUUUUCCAGUACAGUAACAUGAAAUUGCCUAAACAUCCACAGUCUGUGGCAGUAGGGGGUAUCAGGGAAUGUGAAACACACUGCUUGAACAACUGCUCUUGCACUGCUUAUGCUUACAAAGACAACGCUUGCUCGAUUUGGGUAGGAAGUUCGUGGGUCUGCAACAGCUACAAGGAGGUAGAGAUACCAUUUACAUCAAGCUUGCAGCUUCUGAGUUCGAGAGUCCCAAGAACAACAAGGGAGUAGUCAUUGGCAGUGUUGUGGGCUCAGUGGCUGUCGUAGCUCUUAUUUGCCUGAUCAUGCUUGUGUACUUGAGAAGGAGAAAGACAGCAACUGUAACAACCGAAACUUUGGAGGGUUCUUUGGUGGCAUUUGCAUACAAGGAUUUGCAAACUGCCACAAAGAAUUUCUCUGAAAAGCUGGGGGGAGGAGGUUUUGGUUCAGUUUUCAAAGGGGUGUUUCCGAAUUCAAAUCUCACAGCUGUGAAGAAGAUUGAAAGCUGGACCCAAGGAGAGAAGCAAUUUCGGACUGAAGUCAGUACCAUAGGGAAUAUCCAACAUGUCAAUCUGGUUCGGCUUCUGGGUUUCUGCUCUGAACUAGUAGGUUGUUGGUCUACGAUUUCAUGCCAAACGGUUCUUUAGACUCUCAUCUCUUCACUGAAAAAGAUUCAGACUUUCAUGAUUGGAAGACAAGAUACCAAAAUUCAAUGGGGACAGCCAGAGGUUUGGCUUAUCUCCAUGAGAAGUGCAGAGACUGCAUCAUACACUGUGACAUAACGCCAGAGAACAUUCUGUUAGAUGCUGAAUUUUGUCCCAAAGUGUCCGAUUUUGGGCUGGCAAAGCUUGUUGGGAGGGAGUUCAGCCGUGUCCUAACAACCAUGAGAGGAACAAGAGGUUACCUUGCACCUGAAUGGAUUUCAGGAGUGGCCAUAACAGCCAAAACGGAUGUCUACAGCUACGGAAUGAUGCUGUUUGAAUUUGUAUCAGGAAGGAGGAGCUCGCAGGAAUCUGAAGAUGGUAAAGUGAAGUUCUUCCCAUCUUGGGCUGCUAAACGAAUAGUUGAAGGCAGCAAUCUCGUUAGCCUCUUAGACCCAAGACUGGAGGGCAACGCUGACGAAGAAGAGCUUGCAAGACUUUGCAAAGUGGCUUGUUAGUGCAUCCAAGAUGAUGAGACUCACAGGCCAUCAAUGUGUCAAGUAGUUCAAAUUCUUGAGGGAGUUUUGGACGUGGCACUGCCUCCAAUUCCCAGAGCUCUCCAAGUAAUGAUCGACAACCAUGAGCACGUAGUCUUCUUCACUAAAUCAUCGUCAUCUCAGAGUUUUUUGAAUCAAAGAGCAACAAUUCAACUGCUUCAUCUCAAGCAAAGAGCACCACAUCAUCAAGAAGUUCUUAAAUCGGUGUGAAGAAAAUAUUUUCACAUUUGUGUUUUAAGAAUAUGUAUUUGGCUUAUUUCACUUGUAACAACCUGUAUGCAUAUUUGGAUAGAAGCCUUGCUUCGUAGUAUAUAAUAAUAAUGCAACCUGCCAAAGCAAUUUUAAGAAUCACAAGCCUUUUGCCUCGCUGUUCUCUCUAAUGAACUCUGAUUGAUCUAUGCUCCCCUGCAUUGACUAUUGGCUUCACCUAAUCGCUUCAAUUGUCAAAAUUAGGUAUUGAAAUGACAGUUAUCCAGAAGAAGGGGAACUUGGAACUUGGAAGUUAUCCAGAAGAAGGGGAAAAACAGCGAAAUCAAUCAAACAAACAAACUUAAACGCGACGUUGUAACAAAUAACAUGGGUCAAGAUAUGAAUAAACUGGCCAACAUUGUUGAAUUGUCCGUAUUUUUUAUCGACUUCAAUUGGCUAACAAGUUUCCGUCUUUUCUUGAAGGAUGGCUUUGACGGCGUUUCUUGAAGGAUGGCUUUGACGGCUUACGUAACACAUAAUUUACGUUAGACUUUUAAAUAGUCCAUCUGAAAAAAUUUAUGUGACACGGUUGACAGUAUAAGCACAACGACAGUGAUUACUAACUGUUUCUGCUUAGUCCCGCCACACACACCUCCAAUUUCUCCCUUAUGUCUUUGAUAAAUAGACCAUCUGUUGUUCAUAAACAACAUCUUGUCUGCACAGAAGUUUUCCAGCAGCCAUGGAUGUCAAGAAAAAUGUAUGGUUCGUGCUCUGUGUUCUCUCCAUAUGCUUCACUCUCAAACAUCAUUUAUCCUCUGCUGCUCGUGACUCCAUCUCUGCAAACCAAUCUCUCUCUGGGGAUCAAACUAUUGUCUCUGCUGGUGGGGUCUUUGAACUAGGCUUCUUCAAGCCAGGUAACUCUUCAAAUUACUACAUAGGCAUUUGGUACAAAAAGUUGCCAGAACAAACCAUAGUUUGGGUGGCAAAUAGAGAAAAACCAGUUCCCGAUAAAAACUCCUCAGUGUUAAGAAUAUCCGAUGGUAAUUUAGUUCUUUUAAAUGAGUCUAAAAAGCCCAUCUGGUCCACAAGUUUGAACGCUAGUAAUACAACAGCUUCAAUCGAAGCAGUUGUUCUAGAUGAAGGUAAUCUUGUUUUGAGAGAUUCUUCAGCUAAUUCAACCUUAUGGCAAAGUUUUGAUCAUCCGACUCAUACAUGGCUUCCCGGAAUGAAGUUUGGAAUAAACAAACGGGCG